This 206-nucleotide long non-coding RNA is filed under the name Medicago truncatula (barrel medic). RNAcentral's name for it is "long non-coding RNA (MTRU_LNC004024)". Lineage: Eukaryota; Viridiplantae; Streptophyta; Magnoliopsida; Fabales; Fabaceae. The record is from RNAcentral.
UGUCUUCAAAUUUGUGGCUUGGAAGAACAGGGAAAUCGUGACACGAUUUUGGUAUCGUGACGCGAUUUCGGAUGCCGUGAGUUAGGGUUGCAGGGGUGCAAAUCGUGACACGAUUUUGGGAAAAUCGUGACACGAUCAAGAAACUUGCUCGUUAAGUAUCCUUGAUAAGGACUGGUCGUUCCUUGGGACGGACGCAAAUCGUGACA